RNAcentral lists this ribosomal RNA (253 nucleotides) under uncultured bacterium. RNAcentral's name for it is "partial 16S ribosomal RNA". It matches the Rfam family "Bacterial small subunit ribosomal RNA", at positions 524 to 776 of the family's 1533-position model. The record is from RNAcentral.
UACGUAGGGGGCGAGCGUUGUCCGGAGUUACUGGGCGUAAAGGGCCUGCAGGCGGUCGUGCAGGUUUGCGGUGCCAGCCGUUGGCUUAACUGACGGAGUGCCGGAAAAACCGUACGACUUGAGGGUCAGAGAGGGACACAGAAUUCCGGGUGGAGCGGUGAAAUGCGUAGAUAUCAGGAGGAACACCUGUGGCGAAAGCGGCUCACUGGACCAUAACUGACGCUGAUGCACGAAAGCUAGGGGAGCAAACAGG